This 372-nucleotide ribosomal RNA is filed under the name Xanthomonas sp. MCA2.39. Its description in RNAcentral is "bacterial SSU rRNA". It matches the Rfam family "Bacterial small subunit ribosomal RNA", at positions 56 to 426 of the family's 1533-position model. Lineage: Bacteria; Pseudomonadati; Pseudomonadota; Gammaproteobacteria; Lysobacterales; Lysobacteraceae. The record is from RNAcentral.
UGCAGUCGACGGCAGCACAGAGGAGCUUGCUCCUUGGGUGGCGAGUGGCGGACGGGUGAGGAAUACAUCGGAAUCUACUCUUUCGUGGGGGAUAACGUAGGGAAACUUACGCUAAUACCGCAUACGACCUUCGGGUGAAAGCAGGGGAUCGCAAGACCUUGCGCGAUUGAAUGAGCCGAUGUCGGAUUAGCUAGUUGGCGGGGUAAAGGCCCACCAAGGCGACGAUCCGUAGCUGGUCUGAGAGGAUGAUCAGCCACACUGGAACUGAGACACGGUCCAGACUCCUACGGGAGGCAGCAGUGGGGAAUAUUGGACAAUGGGCGCAAGCCUGAUCCAGCCAUACCGCGUGGGUGAAGAAGGCCUUCGGGUUGU